GAUGAAGAACGUAGCGAAAUGCGAUAAGUAAUGUGAAUUGCAGAAUUCAGUGAAUCAUCGAAUCUUUGAACGCACAUUGCGCCCCCUGGUAUUCCGGGGGGCAUGCCUGUCCGAGCGUCAUUACAACCCUCAAGCUCAGCUUGGUGUUGGGCCCCGCCGCCCCGGCGGGCCCUAAAGUCAGUGGCGGUGCCGUCCGGCUCCGAGCGUAGUAAUUCUUCUCGCUCUGGAGGUCCGGUCGUGUGCUCGCCAGCAACCCCCAAUUUUUUUCAGGUUGACCUCGGAUCAGGUAGGGAUACCCGCUGAACUUAAGCAUACAAUAAGCGGAGGA
RNAcentral lists this unclassified non-coding RNA (328 nucleotides) under soil metagenome. RNAcentral describes it as "partial contains 5.8S ribosomal RNA, internal transcribed spacer 2, and large subunit ribosomal RNA". The stretch from base 1 to 120 matches the Rfam family "5.8S ribosomal RNA", at positions 35 to 154 of the family's 154-position model. The record is from RNAcentral.